CAAGUACUUUCCCUCUGCCUUAAGCUCAGUGAAAAUGUGUUUCACUAAGUUUCAGGACAUCCCUUCCUAUGUAGUAUAUGAUGUUACUAUUCAGAGUAUAGCUAGGGAAACAUCAUUCUGUUACUAUUCAGAGUAUAACUAGGGAAACAUCAUUCUGUUACUAUUCAGAGUAUAGCUAGGGAAACAUCAUUCUGUUACUAUUCAGAGUAUAGCUAGGGAAACAUCAUACCAUAUAACUAGGGAAACAUCAUUCUGUUACUAUUCAGAGUAUAGCUAGGGAAACAUCAUACCAUAUAACUAGGGAAACAUCAUUCUGUUACUAUUCAGAGUAUAGCUAGGGAAACAGGAUUCUGUUACUAUUCAGAGUAUAGCUAUGGAAUACUGUUUCCUUUUCAUUUUUGGGUUCUUUUGUCAAUCUGAGUCAGAAAAAAGACAAUGUAGGUUAAAUGCUGAAAGAUGUUUAGAGAUUGAGGUCAGUGGAGCAGCGAAUAAAUGGUGGCUCUUGGGGACAUGAUCCUUUAAAAUGGGACAGAAUUAUGAUGGGUGGUCAAAUGGCUUUUCCUUGUUCUCCAACGUGUACUUUCACUUCAAAACGCAAACACUCUAUUCUUUCAAAAGCAUCCCAAAGCCCUUCGCUCACUCCUCUGUAGCUCUCGCAGCGCACUAGACCCACCUGCUCCAAGACCAAGAUGUAGUGAUCUGAGAUUAAUAUCAUCGAUAAAUGAUGGAUGGAUGGAUAGUUAAAUACAUGUUGGGUUGAGAUGCACAGUUGGAAGAUGGUUGCCAAGGGAAUCAGGGGGAAGAGAUGGUGGAAGAACACAAUAAAUGAGAAAACCCUUUGUACAGAAGAACAAUGUCAGUAAAUAUCAUUGAGACUGGUAAACCCUUUGUACAGAAGAACAAUGUCAUUAAAUAUCAUUGAGACUGGUAAACCCUUUGUACAGAAGAACAAUGUCAGUAAAUAUCAUUGAGACUGGUAAACCCUUUGUACAGAAGAACAAUGUCAUUAAAUAUCAUUGAGACUGGUAAACCCUUUGUACAGAAGAACAAUGUCAUUAAAUAUCAUUGAGACUGGUAAACCCUUUGUACAGAAGAACAAUGUCAUUAAAUAUCAUUGAGACUGGUAAACCCUUUGUACAGAUGAACAUCAUUGAGAGCAAAUGUGGACCCACUACAUACUUGUGUUAAUACAAUUUUAAACAACAUAUAUUUCUGAAUUGUGUUUGUAUUACUUUAUAGUGGCUAAGAUGUGUCCUACUGUACGUAUCUAGAAUCUAAAUACAUAUAAUUCUGAAGGUUCAUUACAUCUAAAUAAGUAACCACAGGAACAGGAAGUGAUGCAAAUCAGUCCAAUGAGUGUGUAGAGAGACAGCUCAGUGUGUUGACCAUUCCCAGGCCUACUAACAGGCUGUUGGUAAGUCUAGGCAAAUUAAAACAACUCUACUUCAAUGUAUACAAUUAAAAUACGACUGACACGCCUAGUCCUGCUACUACUGGUAAUAAUAAAAAUAAUAAAAUAAUAAUAAUAAUAAUAAUAAUGAUAAUGAUAAUGAUAAUAGUAUACAAUAAUGAUAAUGAUAAUGACAAUGGCGAUAACGAUAACGAUAACGAUGAUAAUAUAUAAUAAUGAUAAUGUUAAUAAUAUAUAAUGAUAAUGGUAACGAUAACGAUAAUGAAAACGAUAAUAAUAUAUAACAAUAAUGAUAAUGAUAAUAAUACAAAUGAUAAUAAUAAGAACGAUAAUGAUAACGAUGAUAAUAAUCAUAUUAAUGACAAUAAUAAUAAUAACAAUAAUGAUAAUGGCAAUAAUAAUAAUAGUAAUAAUGAUAAUGACAAUGAUAAUAAUGAUAACAAUAAGGAUAAUAACAAUAACAACAAUAAUAAUAAUGAUAACGAUAAACAAUAAAUUAUUCAUUCCAUGCGGUUGUUUGCAGAUGAGGGUUAGAUAGGUAAAUCAAGUCCUCCCAGCAGUAUCAAUAACACAGUCUCCUGGUAGUGUUGAGGAGGGCCGAUGAAGGUAGAGAGAUGUUUUUUUUUAUAAUUGCUUUGUUCCCUGCGGCAGCCGCAGAUACCCUGAGGGUCAAGAGCUGGAGUGGUGAGGCUGCUGGGG
Molecule: long non-coding RNA, 2110 nt
Filed under: Salmo salar (Atlantic salmon)
Lineage: Eukaryota; Metazoa; Chordata; Actinopteri; Salmoniformes; Salmonidae
Description: lncRNA (ENSSSAG00000115312.1)
Source: RNAcentral